Molecule: long non-coding RNA, 534 nt
Organism: Microplitis mediator
Lineage: Eukaryota; Metazoa; Arthropoda; Insecta; Hymenoptera; Braconidae
Exons: 3
Source: RefSeq, a predicted model, not a curated record
UACAAUAUUAGAUAUGAAAAAAAACAACAAAACAGUUAUCAGUUGCCUUGAUAAAUUUAGUGGGGAUAAAUUUUGAAUAUAAAAACUCUGCGGCAAAACUUUUACACAAAACACCUCUUCAGUUUGCUAAAAGCCGCUUCGAGUUUAGUUAGUCUACAAUUGGUGGUUUAAUUAACGAAAUCAUGAAGCUUACACUUUUAUUAGUUCUUUUGGUAGCCAUUUUUGGUAUGGUCUCAUCAAGACAGUGCAUCACUGAGGGUAGAUAUUGUAAUCAGGAAGACGCGAAAUGUUGUGCAAGCAUGUAUUGUAAAGACAAUCAAUGUUUUGAAAAACCGUAAGUUAACCACCAGCUUGUUGGCUGAAGAAAUGCCUGUAAGUUUAUAAAAUAAAUAAAUAAAUAUAUAUGCAGACAACAAAGAAAAUAUAUGAUCUAACUUUAAGUCUUGAUUCAACUUUACGCUUUAUAAAAAUUGAUAUGUUCUGUACUUUUAUUUUAAUUUAUAAAUAAUACAAUAAAUUAUUUAUCAAUCUGUA